RNAcentral lists this ribosomal RNA (439 nucleotides) under uncultured bacterium. RNAcentral describes it as "partial 16S ribosomal RNA". It matches the Rfam family "Bacterial small subunit ribosomal RNA", at positions 339 to 795 of the family's 1533-position model. The record is from RNAcentral.
CUACGGGGUGCUGCAGUGGGGAAUAUUGGACAAUGGGCGCAAGCCUGAUCCAGCAAUGCCGCGUGAGUGAAGACGGCCUUAGGGUUGUAAAACUCUUUCGCUAGGGAAGAUAAUGACUGUACCUAGUAAAGAAGUCCCGGCUAACUCCGUGCCAGCAGCCGCGGUAAUACGGAGGGGACUGGCGUUGUUCGGAAUUACUGGGCGUAAAGAGUUCGUAGGCGGACUGACAAGUUAGAGGUGAAAUCCCAGGGCUCAACCCUGGAACUGCCUUUAAAACUGUCAGUCUAGAGACCGGAAGAGGUUAGGGGAAUACCUAGUGUAGAGGUGAAAUUCGUAGAUAUUAGGUGGAACACCAGUGGCGAAGGCGCCUAACUGGUCCGGUACUGACGCUGAGGAACGAAAGCGUGGGGAGCAAACAGGAUUAGAUACCCCUGUAGUC